This 208-nucleotide unclassified non-coding RNA is filed under the name Hevea brasiliensis (rubber tree). The record is from RNAcentral. Lineage: Eukaryota; Viridiplantae; Streptophyta; Magnoliopsida; Malpighiales; Euphorbiaceae.
CAAUUCUCUCUCUGUAGCUUAGUUGUGUUCUGAGAUUUAUUGUGUGAUUGAAUCUGUUUUUCGAUUUUGAAAUUUGAAUUCACUGUGUAGCUCGAAGAAGCUUUAAAGCUUUCAAUUAUAUAAACUAUUCUAUGCUUAUAAAAGAAAAUUUCAUGAAAAUUCUUCUGACUGACUGAGAUUUCGAGGUGCUGUUGUUGUUUAGUUUGGG